RNAcentral lists this ribosomal RNA (1346 nucleotides) under uncultured bacterium. Its description in RNAcentral is "partial 16S ribosomal RNA". It matches the Rfam family "Bacterial small subunit ribosomal RNA", at positions 28 to 1381 of the family's 1533-position model. The record is from RNAcentral.
GACGAACGCUGGCGGCGUGCUUAACACAUGCAAGUCGAACGGAAAGGCCCUGCUUUUGUGGGGUGCUCGAGUGGCGAACGGGUGAGUAACACGUGAGUAACCUGCCCUUGACUUUGGGAUAACUUCAGGAAACUGGGGCUAAUACCGGAUAGGAGCUCCUGCUGCAUGGUGGGGGUUGGAAAGUUUCGGCGGUUGGGGAUGGACUCGCGGCUUAUCAGCUUGUUGGUGGGGUAGUGGCUUACCAAGGCUUUGACGGGUAGCCGGCCUGAGAGGGUGACCGGCCACAUUGGGACUGAGAUACGGCCCAGACUCCUACGGGAGGCAGCAGUGGAGAAUAUUGCACAAUGGGCGGAAGCCUGAUGCAGCAACGCCGCGUGCGGGAUGACGGCCUUCGGGUUGUAAACCGCUUUUGCCUGUGACGAAGCGUGAGUGACGGUAAUGGGUAAAGAAGCACCGGCUAACUACGUGCCAGCAGCCGCGGUGAUACGUAGGGUGCGAGCGUUGUCCGGAUUUAUUGGGCGUAAAGGGCUCGUAGGUGGUUGAUCGCGUCGGAAGUGUAAUCUUGGGGCUUAACCCUGAGCGUGCUUUCGAUACGGGUUGACUUGAGGAAGGUAGGGGAGAAUGGAAUUCCUGGUGGAGCGGUGGAAUGCGCAGAUAUCAGGAGGAACACCAGUGGCGAAGGCGGUUCUCUGGGCCUUUCCUGACGCUGAGGAGCGAAAGCGUGGGGAGCGAACAGGCUUAGAUACCCUGGUAGUCCACGCUGUAAACGGUGGGUACUAGGUGUGGGGUCCAUUCCACGGGUUCCGUGCCGUAGCUAACGCUUUAAGUACCCCGCCUGGGGAGUACGGCCGCAAGGCUAAAACUCAAAGGAAUUGACGGGGCCCCGCACAAGCGGCGGAGCAUGCGGAUUAAUUCGAUGCAACGCGUAGAACCUUACCUGGGUUUGACAUGGAUCGGGAGUGCUCAGAGAUGGGUGUGCCUCUUUUGGGGUCGGUUCACAGGUGGUGCAUGGCUGUCGUCAGCUCGUGUCGUGAGAUGUUGGGUUAAGUCCCGCAACGAGCGCAACCCUUGUUCACUGUUGCCAGCACGUUAUGGUGGGGACUCAGUGGAGACCGCCGGGGUCAACUCGGAGGAAGGUGGGGACGACGUCAAGUCAUCAUGCCCCUUAUGUCCAGGGCUUCACGCAUGCUACAAUGGCUGGUACAGAGAGUGGCGAGCCUGUGAGGGUGAGCGAAUCUCGGAAAGUCGGUCUCAGUUCGGAUUGGGGUCUGCAACUCGACCUCAUGAAGUCGGAGUCGCUAGUAAUCGCAGAUCAGCAACGCUGCGGUGAAUACGUUCCCGGGGCU